Long non-coding RNA from Rhagoletis pomonella (apple maggot), 437 nucleotides. RefSeq lists it as uncharacterized. Lineage: Eukaryota; Metazoa; Arthropoda; Insecta; Diptera; Tephritidae. The record is from RefSeq and is a predicted model, not a curated record. The transcript is spliced from 3 exons.
CAAAAUGAUACCAUAUUACAACUAACAGCAGAAGUGGCAAUGUUAAAAUCUGUUUUAUCGAAAACUGGACCAGGUCUAGCUAUAUACACAAAAAGGUUUCCUCUGACUUCUGAGCAGGACCUAAUUCAGUUAGAGGAAGACAUUACAGAGGACAACAAAGAAGCUAUGAUUGUUAGUUUGAAAAAACUUAUUAUACCUGGAGGAUGGAGCAAAAAUAUGGAGAGACUCAUUGCAACCGAAGUAAGUCUAGAGUAUAAUGUGGAUGAAAAAACAACAAGAAAAGGCUGCGCAAUUUCCCGAAAUGCUUGAACAUACUAUAUGAAGCGACAGUGGUGGAAGGAAAAACAGUUGACGAUUUUUUACAUGACUUGCGGCAUGGACUGCGCUGUGUAAAAAAUAAACACUUCAAGAAAGUGUGCUUAGAAAAUAAGGAUAAA